RNAcentral lists this ribosomal RNA (170 nucleotides) under uncultured Clostridium sp. RNAcentral describes it as "partial 16S ribosomal RNA". It matches the Rfam family "Bacterial small subunit ribosomal RNA", at positions 338 to 525 of the family's 1533-position model. Lineage: Bacteria; Bacillati; Bacillota; Clostridia; Eubacteriales; Clostridiaceae. The record is from RNAcentral.
UCUACGGGAGGCAGCAGUGGGGAAUAUUGCACAAUGGGCGGAAGCCUGAUGCAGCAACGCCGCGUGAGUGAAGAAGGUUUUCGGAUUGUAAAGCUCUGUCAUAUGGGACGAUAGUGACGGUACCAUAUGAGGAAGCCACGGCUAACUACGUGCCAGCAGCCGCGGUAAUA